UUUCACCCAAAUCCCACCUCUCACAUUCAUCAACCAUCUCUAUCGCAGCCAAGAAACGACAUCACAUCCUUCAUCAUUCAAGGUUUCUAUUCUAAUUGAUAUGUUAUGAUAUCCUUCAAUUUGUAUAUAUCAACUCCAGAACACCAACAGAGAAUCACCAAUACACAUGCACAUGAUUAUUUGAUAUUUCACUAUGUGCUUACAAGAUAUGACAUAUGAACUGAAAUAUUAAAACUGAGUGUUUAAUUUGCAAGGAAAGAAAUUCAGAUUUCAUUAAGAAAUUACAGUUUGAGAAUGAUAUGUGCUAACAAAAACCCUAUGCUAUUUUGUGAACUGAAUAUGAGGCUUGAACCCCUGUUUUGUGUGUGAGUCGAGAGAGGGAGAGGGCAGCCUUGGUGACUCGUCGUCGCCGGCGGUCGACGGACGGCGACGGAGCCGCGGUGGCUUCCGAUCUGCCAAAGAGGGGAAAGGAGACAAGUAUUUCAGUUUUUAAUUUAGAAAAGGGAAAAGAUGAGGGAAGGAAAAAAAGAAGAAAAAGAGAAUAGGGAAUUAGGGCUUACCUUUAAUUCGACGGACGACGGAGGCGGCGGCCCCCUGGCCGUCUGUCCACCGGCGAAGGGGAGGACGACGCGGCAGCGCGGCUUACGCCGUGUCUGCGUGCGCGUGUGUGUGUGAGUCGGUGAGAAAGAGAGAAGGUGAGAACGAGGGAGAUGGCGAGAUGAGCGACGGCGCCGUGGUCUUCAGGCCGCGGCGGAUCUGCCGCGAGAAUGAGGGAGCAGGCGGCGGCCCGGCGAUGGCGGCGCACCGCGGUGGUGGUGUCUGCUGCGCCUGGGUCCAGCGGCCGAGAGAGCGAGAGAGAUAGAGGGGAAGAGAGGGGGAAAGAGUUCAGGGAGAGAGGGAGGGGCCAACGCGGGCCUCCGUCCGGCGGGCACCGCCGUCGGGGCGGCGGCGGCAGAGCACCGAUAUCGAGAGAGAGGGUGCGUCUGAUGCGUGUGUGUGAGUGUGUGAAGUUGUGGCUGAGUGUGUGUGUUUAAAUGUGUUUUAGUGUGUGUUUAUUUAGGGUUAGCAUGAGAAGUGGCUUGGACCUCAAUUUUGUUUUGGGCUGAGAUUUAAUUGUUGAUUGGGCUCGGCCCUUUACAAAUAAAAUGUGAUGGACCUAUUAAUUUAAUUGUUUGGGCCUUAUUCAAAGAAAAAUAUGAUGAACUUAGUUUACCUAAUUAAUUUGGGUUUAUAUCCAUUUAAAUUAUUUAAGCUCUUAAUUAUUAAUUUAAAUUGAGCUUGAUUAAUUCAAUUAUAUAUUAACCUUUAAAUUAAUUAAAUAAAUAGAGUCUUUUAUUUGAUUAUUUAUAAAUGAAUUUUUAAAAUAAAAUAUUUUGAGUUAAACUCUUAUUAAUAUGGAUUAUUUGAAAGGAUUAAAUUGUUUUAAGUAUGAGAAAGCAUGAUCUAUGAUGAUAUAAUUUGUCUAUGUGAUAUUAUAGGAUUUGUUUUUAAAUGACGGAAUAUUUGACUUGAUGGCGUGAGUAGAACGAGUUAUGAUUGAUGCGCAUGUUGAUGUUCUAAUAAAUAGUUUCGAACCUAAAUGUUAGUUAUGUGAUAAAUGUUUUGAGUUUAAGGUUCUGAACGAGACAAGAUUAAUAUGGAUGCUAGAACCCUAAAAUCUUUAAAGGAGAUAGUUUAGUUUAGAGACCUAUCUUCCUUUCUUUCACGACUUCUUCUCGAACACUACAACAAAAACUCUAAUAGAAACCGUUAAAUAGAAACCGGUUUUUGCUAAAAACCGGUUUCGUAGCUCCAAAAACCGGUUUCUUAAAUAUAACCGGUUUCUAUUUCAAAAAAAUGCGCUGAUAGAAACCGGUUUUUUACUACCGGUUUCUAUCAUGUGGUGUUAUAGAUAUAUUAUAAAAUCGGUAUUCGUUUAAAUAUUUUAAACCGGUCUGAAACCGGUUUUAAAACAUAGAGUAUUAAAAAAAAAUUGAAAAAAUGAAAGAGGUGAAAUAAUUACGUAUAGUGUAACAGUGCCCUAAUUCUCCUCCCUCGCUGCACACAACUUCCGCCACCAUUCUCCCCGCGCCACCCAGCCGAUGUUACACCUUCCGGCGGCGGCGCCUCCAUCCCGUCAUCAUUCUCUCGCUGAUUUCUCAUUAUCGACAUCUCUCCGCACUCGCUGAUUCCUCAGAUUUCGUAGGAAUUUGAAGUCCCAAUCGCUGAAGUCAGUUCCACAGAUGAAGUUUCCAUCGCUGAUUCCUCAUUAUCGCCGAAGUCUCCAUCUCUGAAGUCUCUAUCACAGAAAAGUGCGCCUCCAUUGCCAAAGUCAGUUCCAUAGGUAUUUAUUUGUACUUCUUUCUCUCAAUGUUGCCUUUGAUUUUCUUUCUUUAGUGAAUGUAUUUUUCAAUUUUUACUUGUCAAGUUUCAAUGUAUUGCCAUUCUCUAAUUUCGAUUGAAGUCUUAAUUAGAAUGUAGUAUUGUUAGGGCUGCAAUUUGUUCUUUUUCUUUCUGCACCAAAAUUGGGGAGUAGGCUUUCAUGUUUAUUUUUUCUGUUCUUUUUUGUUAUAAUGAAAAGAUCCUCUUUUUGUUCUUCUUUCUGCACCAAAACUUUCGAGUAGGCAAUUUGUGAGGAAAGUUUUGAAACAGAUAUCCUUGUUCUCUAUGAAACAGAUCACCGCUGCUCUUGCUCUGCUGUGUUUCGUCGCUGCUCUAGGCUUUGUAGCUGCUCUCUGCGUCUUUCUCUGGUCCGUCGUGCUUCGCCGCCUCUAAGGUUAGUUUUGCUACUCUUGAAGGGGCUGCCCUUUCUAUCUAAGUGAGUGAAUAUCAUGUUGCUGCUAUUUUUCUUUGCUAUUGCUGCUAUGUGUGUUGUGUGCAGUGUGUAGAUGUAUGCCAUUUUGUAAAUGUUAAAGGGUGAUUCUCGCUAACUAUGAGGACCCAUACAUAUAUUAUAUAGUUCAAAGCUAGGUAUGAGAUUUGUAAAUGUACACCAGUACAGAAAUUAUGUAAUUCUUUAACAUACAAAUUAUGCAGUGUGGACCCAAAUUUGAACCACUUUCAGCGACAAUUCAUUUACAUAAUUAUAUAUUACUGGUUAUUAUAUAUAGUUUUAGCUUGCAACCAGUGCUGACUUAUUAGGCAAAUAAAUCUUAAACUAGUGGCCUUUAUAUAUAAGUUGUUUAGUUUAUCUUAUUUUAAUCUAGCACUAUGUUCUUAAUUAGUACUAAUCAAUUUGAUGCAGUACAGAAACUAGCUAACUCCUUUGAAUGUAUGGUUCAAAUGAAAUGAAAAGCCUAGUGUUAUAGCCGACCCUUAUCAAUCUAAAACAAAAAAUAUUCCUCAUGCAGUGUGUAGAAAUUAUGUUAAAGGGUGAUAUUUAGGACUGGUGAUCUUGUACUCUCCAGAAGAGAAUUGAGAUGGUACAUUUUUUUUUGUACUCUCCAGAAGUUGGCCAAAAAUUAAAAUAAGUGGUGAUUUCUUACAAACUGAAUAAGCUAUAUGCUGUACAAACUGGUCCAUAAAUGUGUUCAUCAUUUCAUUCUGCAUUUUUUCAAGUAUAAAAAACUUAGCAAAGGAAUCUAGCAGAGAUGUGCUAGUGCUGCUCCUAUCUAACACAACAAUAUACUGUUACAUAUAAAAAUGUUCAAAGGUAGUUUAAAAUCCUCUUAAAGUGAGUUAUGAAUAUUUCGCUGAAAAUUAAAAUUAAAUCAAGUAAUGCUAUAUCUUAUUAUUAUUAUUAAAAGUUCAAACUUAUCGAUUCUUCGUCAAUAAAGCUCCAGGCGGGAAGUGAUAGCUAAAGAUGGAAGUAACUCUACGCCCGUUGUGGGAACGAAUAAGGUGGGCUUUCUUAAAACACGUAUAUAGAGAUGCCCUGCAUACAGGCCUCUUAUACGAAAUGAAAUGAAUGACAUGAUAUGACUGUAUUAUUUCAAAUGGUGAAUGGUUCUUAUGAAAUGAAAUGUUUAUGGAAAUGAUUAAAUGAUGAAUGGUUUUUAUGAAAGGAAAGGAAAUAUUUAUGAAAUGAUUGUCUGCUAAAAAUGUUUAUGUUUUAUGUAUGUAUCCUAUCUGUGUUGGUUCGCCAACUAUAAAGGAAAUCGAAUUCGGACCCUACGCUAGACGAAGGUUUGCUAGUAAGGGUUAAUGUGUACACUCAUGGAGACUGUGUGUCGCUUGCGACCGGUCUUGGCGUCCGUGGAAGGAGGCCUCCUUCCCGGCGCGUGAAAGAAACAGAUAUGGAUCAUAUAGACUGAAAAUGGGAUGGCCAUCCAACUUUAUGAAACGAAAGAAAAUGUUUAGUAAGCAUGGGUCCUUCAAGUAAAACCCUGUGUGUUACUUGGCAGUACAAUAAAUGAUAUAAAAUGUUAUGUUUCCGGCAUAUGUUCACUGAGUAUUUUUACUCAACCCUGCAUGUUGUUUU
This 4399-nucleotide long non-coding RNA is filed under the name Salvia miltiorrhiza (redroot sage). RNAcentral describes it as "long non-coding RNA (SMIL_LNC006048)". Lineage: Eukaryota; Viridiplantae; Streptophyta; Magnoliopsida; Lamiales; Lamiaceae. The record is from RNAcentral.